ACCCGGGUGGCUCAGUAGGUUAAGCAUCUGACUUCAGCUCAGGUCAUGAUCUCACGAUUCGUGGGUUCAAACCCCAUGUUGGGCU
Molecule: transfer RNA, 85 nt
Filed under: Felis catus (domestic cat)
Lineage: Eukaryota; Metazoa; Chordata; Mammalia; Carnivora; Felidae
Also listed under: 5 other names
Rfam family: tRNA
About the family: Transfer RNA (tRNA) molecules are approximately 80 nucleotides in length. Their secondary structure includes four short double-helical elements and three loops (D, anti-codon, and T loops).
Source: Rfam by way of RNAcentral